GAUGAACGCUGGCGGCGUGCCUAAUACAUGCAAGUCGAGCGAACAUACGAUGCGCUUGCUCCGCACUCGAUUGCGGCGAGCAGUUGCGUAACACUUAGAAACCCUUCCUUAACCUCCCGGAUAACUGCGGGAAACCGGAGCAAAUACGUGCUAAUAUCGCAUACCAGAUUAUUCAGUAUUGAAAGACGGUGUUGCUCUCACUCGUAGAUGGAUCCGCGCUGCAUUAGCUAGUUGGUAAGGUAACGGCUCACCAAGGCAACGAUGCGUAGCCGACCUGAGAGGGUGAUCGGCCACACUGGAACUGAGACACGGUCCAGACUCCUACGGGAGGCAGCAGUAGGGAAUCUUCCGCAAUGGGCGAAAGCCUGACGGAGCAACGCCGCGUGAGUGAUGAAGGUUUUCGGAUCGUAAAACUCUGUUAUUAGGGAAGAACAAAUGCGUAAGUAACUAUGCACGUCUUGACGGUACCUAAUCAGAAAGCCACGGCUAACUACGUG
This 497-nucleotide ribosomal RNA is filed under the name uncultured bacterium. RNAcentral describes it as "partial 16S ribosomal RNA". It matches the Rfam family "Bacterial small subunit ribosomal RNA", at positions 28 to 507 of the family's 1533-position model. The record is from RNAcentral.